Molecule: ribosomal RNA, 581 nt
Filed under: uncultured bacterium
Lineage: Bacteria
Description: bacterial SSU rRNA
Rfam family: Bacterial small subunit ribosomal RNA
Source: RNAcentral
CCUACGGGAGGCAGCAGUCGAGAAUCUUCGGCAAUGGACGCAAGUCUGACCGAGCGACGCCGCGUGCGGGAUGAAGGCCUUCGGGUUGUAAACCGCUGUCAGAGGGGAUGAAGUGUACGGGAGUUAUCUCCUGUAUUUGACAGAGCCUCAGAGGAAGCACGGGCUAAGUUCGUGCCAGCAGCCGCGGUAAUACGAACUGUGCGAACGUUAUUCGGAAUCACUGGGCUUAAAGGGUGCGUAGGCGGCUGCCUAAGUCAGGUGUGAAAUCUCUCGGCUCAACCGGGAAACUGCGCUUGAUACCGGGCGGCUCGAGUGAGGUAGGGGUGUGUGGAACUUCCGGUGGAGCGGUGAAAUGUGUAGAUAUCGGAAGGAACGCCAGCAGCGAAAGCGGCACACUGGGCCUUUUCUGACGCUGAGGCACGAAAGCUAGGGGAGCGAACGGGAUUAGAUACCCCGGUAGUCCUAGCCGUAAACACUGAACACUCGAGGAGGGGGCUUCGGCCUUCUUUCUCUUAGCGAAAGCGUUAAGUGUUCCGCCUGGGGAGUAUGGUCGCAAGGCUGAAACUCAAAGGAAUUGACGG